CCAAAGUACUGCAAAAAUCAUAUAAAAAUAAAACUAACAUUAUGGGCACUUUAUUCUAAUCAAAUUUAAGAUCAUACUUCAGUCUAGCUGUUAGCUAUUGUUCUGUUGGCCAACCAGCUCACCAGAAACAAUUAACUUCUAUUUGAUAGAUAAAUGGUUUUUCAACACUUGGGAGACAAAUCUUGCAUUCCAUUUCAAUAUUUGGUAUUUCAGACUCAAACUGGUAUAGUUUCUUUCUUGAGAACUUUGACCAUUUGAAAACAGUACCCAAAGAUUGUGCUAUAUUUUAGACAAACAAUAUUGCUGAUGGUAUAAAUCAGAACUAAAUAAUGCAGUAAUAUCUGCUAACAAUAUGUGAAUAUAUCUGCAGAAAAU
This 375-nucleotide long non-coding RNA is filed under the name Bos taurus (domestic cattle). Its description in RNAcentral is "long non-coding RNA NONBTAT009685". Lineage: Eukaryota; Metazoa; Chordata; Mammalia; Artiodactyla; Bovidae. The record is from RNAcentral.